CGCGGCCUAUCAGCUUGUUGGUGAGGUAAUGGCUCACCAAGGCGACGACGGGUAGCCGGCCUGAGAGGGCGACCGGCCACACUGGGACUGAGACACGGCCCAGACUCCUACGGGAGGCAGCAGUGGGGAAUAUUGCACAAUGGGCGAAAGCCUGAUGCAGCGACGCCGCGUGAGGGAUGACGGCCUUCGGGUUGUAAACCUCUUUCAGCAGGGAAGAAGCGAAAGUGACGGUACCUGCAGAAGAAGCGCCGGCUAACUACGUGCCAGCAGCCGCGGUAAUACGUAGGGCGCAAGCGUUGUCCGGAAUUAUUGGGCGUAAAGAGCUCGUAGGCGGUCUGUCGCGUCGGAUGUGAAAGCCCGGGGCUUAACCCCGGGUCUGCAUUCGAUACGGGCAGACUAGAGUGUGGUAGGGGAGAUCGGAAUUCCUGGUGUAGCGGUGAAAUGCGCAGAUAUCAGGAGGAACACCAGUGGCGAAGGCGGAUCUCUGGGCCAUUACUGACGCUGAGGAGCGAAAGCGUGGGGAGCGAACAGGAUUAGAUACCCUGGUAGUCCACGCCGUAAACGGUGGGGACUAGGUGUUGGCGACAUUCCACGUCGUCGGUGCCGCAGCUAACGCAUUAAGUUCCCCGCC
Molecule: ribosomal RNA, 631 nt
Filed under: uncultured bacterium
Lineage: Bacteria
Description: bacterial SSU rRNA
Rfam family: Bacterial small subunit ribosomal RNA
Source: RNAcentral